AGAGCUCAAAUUUAAAAUCUGGCGGUCUCAGACUGUCCGAGUUGUAAUCUAGAGAGGUGUUUUCCGUGCCGGACCGUGUAAAAGUCCCUUGGAACAGGGCGUCAUAGAGGGUGAGAAUCCCGUCCAUGACACGGACUCCCGGUGCUCUGUGAUACACCUUCAAAGAGUCGAGUUGUUUGGGAAUGCAGCUCAAAAUGGGUGGUAAAUUCCAUCUAAAGCUAAAUAUAGGCGAGAGACCGAUAGCGAA
This 247-nucleotide ribosomal RNA is filed under the name Auriculariales sp. RNAcentral's name for it is "partial large subunit ribosomal RNA". It matches the Rfam family "Eukaryotic large subunit ribosomal RNA", at positions 104 to 344 of the family's 3401-position model. The record is from RNAcentral. Lineage: Eukaryota; Fungi; Basidiomycota; Agaricomycetes; Auriculariales.